AUUGAACGCUGGCGGCAGGCCUAACACAUGCAAGUCGAGCGGCAGCGGGAAAGUAGCUUGCUACUUUUGCCGGCGAGCGGCGGACGGGUGAGUAAUGCCUGGGGAUCUGCCCAGUCGAGGGGGAUAACUACUGGAAACGGUAGCUAAUACCGCAUACGCCCUACGGGGGAAAGCAGGGGACGUUCGGGCCUUGCGCGACUGGAUGAACCCAGGUUGGAUUAGCUAGUUGGUGAGGUAACGGCUCACCAAGGCGACGAUCCCUAGCUGGUCUGAGAGGAUGAUCAGCCACACUGGAACCGAGACACGGUCCAGACUCCUACGGGAGGCAGCAGUGGGGAAUAUUGGACAAUGGGCGCAAGCCUGAUCCAGCCAUGCCGCGUGUGUGAAGAAGGCCCUCGGGUUGUAAAGCACUUUAAGCGAGGAGGAAGGUCAUCAUACUAAUAUUAUGAUGAAUUGACGUUACUCGCAGAAUAAGCACCGGCUAACUCUGUGCCAGCAGCCGCAGUAACAC
Molecule: ribosomal RNA, 511 nt
Filed under: uncultured bacterium
Lineage: Bacteria
Description: bacterial SSU rRNA
Rfam family: Bacterial small subunit ribosomal RNA
Source: RNAcentral